UUUCCUUUGGAAUUCACCUCCAAAUAUCUAUUCAAAAAUGACUCAAUAAUUUCAAAUAUUGCUAAAGAAAUCAAUUAUAUUGCAUAAAUUAAAUUUCCCAAAUUUUCCUCCAAAAAGUCAAAAAAAUCGACCCCGGGCCCGUCUGGUUAAAACUCGAGGUUCGGACCAAAAUUCAUUUACCCAUUCACCCCCGAGCCCGAAUGUAUGAUUGGUUUUGGAAUCCGACCUCAAAUUAAGGUUUAAAUCCCCAAAUUUUCGAAAUUUCUAGUUUCCACCCUAACCCCUAAUUCUACCAUGAAAACUCUAGAUUUUAGGUUGAUAAUUCAAGAAAUGUAAUGGGCAAUAGAAAGAAAAUAGUUUAGAAUCACUUACCAACACUUUGGAAAAGCAAAUGUCUCUUGAAAAUCGUCUAUACCCGUUUGGUUCUUGAAAAAUGUUGAAGAAAUGGCUCAAACCCGUGUUUGAUUCUGUUUUAUGCGCUGGGCGACAGUGUGCAUCGCGUUUGCGAGGCCACUGUCGCGUUCACGAAGGGUACUGGCUGCCAAGCCUUCGCGUUCGCGAGACCCUUCUCGCGUUCGUGAUGGUUACUCCCCCUGGCCUUCGCGUUCGCGAGCCAUUGCUCGCGUUCGUGAUGAAGGAACGACCAACCCUCCCCAGGUCCCCAAGUGCUUCGCGUUCGCGAAGGGUAAAUCCCCCAUCACUUUGCGUUCGCGAAGAAGAAGUCUCAACAUUACCAGUUUACUCCUCGCGUUCGCGAGAGGACCUUCACGAACGCGAGGAAGGAUAUGCCAGACACUAAAAUCUGCAGAAAACCAGAUAUUUUCCAAUUUCAAAAUAUCUCGUGGCCUAUCCGAAACUCACCCGAGCCCUCGGGGCUCCAAACCAAACAUGCACACAAGUCUAAAAAUAUCAUACGGACCUGCUCGCGCGAUCAAAUUGCCAAAAUAACACCUAGAACUCCGAAUUUAGCACCAAAUCCAAUGAAAUUCUCAAGAACACUUUAAAAUUUCUAUCUUCUCAACUGGAUGUCCGAAUCACGCCAAAUCAACUCCGUUUCUCACCAAAUUUCACAGACGAGUCUUAAAUAUCAUAAUGAACCUGUACUAGGUUUCGGAACCAGAAUACGGACCCGGCACUAACAAUGCCAAACAUCAAUCAAUUCUUAAAAAUAAUUAAUUUUCAGACUUUUAAUUUUCAUCAACAAUUCAUAACUUGAGCUAGAGACCUCCGAAUUCGAUUUCGGGCAUACGCCCAAGUCCCAUAAUUCGAUAUGGACCCACCUGGACCGUCAAAAUAAGGAUCCGGAUCCAUUUACCAAAAUUGUUGACCGGAGUCAUCUAAAAUCAACUUUUUAAGGCAUAAAUUCUUAUUUUUAACAUAAAAACUUUUCAGAAUUCUGCCCGAAUUACGCACACAAAUCAAGAAAGGUAAAAAUAAGAUUUUUAAGACUUAAGAGUGCAAAUUCAUGUUCUAAAACAUAAUAUGACCCUUUGGGUUAUCAUAACUUUUAUCCUCGAAAAUAUAACUCGGGCAGCAGAGGAGAAGAAAAUCACACAAAACUUCUAAAAAUUAUACGGAAAUCAAAGAAAUCACAAAUUUUUGGCGAAAUCAGAAACCUCCGACGAAGAUGAAAAACUCAACGAAAUCAAACGAGGGUAACAUCACUAGAUAGAGAAUGACGAGAAUCAUCAGAUUCCUCGCUCUGAUACCAUGUUAGCAUACAGAAUUGAAAGAGAAAUUGGCAAAUUACAUUUGGGGCUUGAAGGAACAGGAAAAACUAGAAGAUAUUCCGAGAUAUUUCUUAUUGAAAAGGAAAAACUACAAAAUUGAACAGGAAGAUAUUUCUUAUUCUGUAAUUGAUAAAAAUGCCAAAAGUCUCUAGAAUAUUCCGUCUCUAUCCCUAUAUAUACAUUGGGCCUCUUUUUCCCAAAUCAGAUAACUAAGCUACUCAUAAAUAAACUGGGCUAGGCCCAAUACAAAACAAAUUAACACCAGCAGCCCUUAUUCCUUCAUGUAAUCCAAACACAAAACAAAACAUAAUUUGAAGGAGAAAAAUAAUAAGAGAUUUUCAAAUAUUAAGGAAAAAAAUAUUUGGGUAAAAGAGAUAAUGUUAAAAAAAUCGAUUAUUAUAAACAAAAUGUUGUUAGUUUCUGUUGUGGUUCCAAGUGAAAAACAACGAUAGGACCGGUUUUGUUUUCCUAAAAUAUUUUUAGUUUGAUAUCCAAAAACUAACUCAUUUGAAAUGCAAGUAAUGGAGUCACUUUUUUAAAUAAAAAAAAAACAAAUCCAAAAUUAUUUUUUUCGGUUUGGUUUUUUAUUUUUAGAAAUCACAUUUUGUUUACUUUAUCCAAUUAUAUUUACACAAUUGUUAGCCCAUUAUUUUGUUUAGCAAAUGUUAAUAUUUGAGAACCAGACAACAAUUUUUGGAAUAAACAUGCAGAUCGACCAAAUUAAUAAUCCUGAAACAUUGAUCAACUUAUAUACAUUUCAAAAUUUUAAUUAAGUUGAUUCGCAAAAGAGUUCAUAAAGAGAAGACACAAACUAUCUUUAGGUUGAAAAGUUGAAUUAGAUAAAGGACUUGUCUGUCCUAGAAACUUGAAUUAAAAUUGGAGAUACUUUUAUUUGGAUCAAAAUAAUCAGGUGUCAUGCGGAAGUUAGUAAAGCAAUAUGAACAAUGAUAAAUCAGACAACAAAAGGAAAUAUACCAAAAGAGACACAAACAUUUAACGUGGUUCGGUCAAUUGACCUACGUCCACAACGGAGAUGAGCAAUCCACUAUAUAAAAGAGAGUACAAAAUAUCGAGAGAACAACCUCACGAACAGGCAAAUUCAAGUGACACACUAACACUUGUCCCGUAAAGUUCUCCCCUCUAAACACGACUCUCAAAUCCCAUAUGGCUACAUUGUGGAUGAUGCUGAAUGAGAAGCAAGGAUCCUCUAUUUAUAGAAGUCCAAAUCUUUUCCUAUAAGAAAAAGGACUAGCCAAAAUAUGGGAGAUUCAUAAUUUUUUUUCAAGCAAAGAAAAACUCAAUUAUGGUAAAUAUAUUGUCCUUUCCUUCAACAGAUAGGAAAACCAAAUAUGGUAAGAAAAUCAGGACAAAUGUCUAACAAAUUUAACGUGCCCAAAAUAAAUAUCAAGGGAGUUUUAGCUCUAGUUUGUCAACUCUUACUUGCGUAUGGGUAAAAUUAUAGGCAAUGUCUACCCCGAUUUUCCGAUGAGAAAAUGGAGGGAGAGCACGAAUCCACGAGAUUGUAAUCGAGGUUAGAGACCCUUCGUAUCGAGACCCAAGAAGAGUAAACGAUGUGUCCGCCAUCGGAUUGGUAAAGUGACGCGCCCUGGGCCAAGUAUAAGUUCUAAGACCUCGGGAGAUACGGUGAACAGUUGUGCAUAACGGAUAGAGAUCCGUGAAACUCGCCCUCAACCAAAUAUCACGGCGCGUAUCUUGCUCGAUAUCGAUUAUGGAUCAGUAAUUACUGAAAAAGAUGAUUUUUACUUUUUUUAGACUUUUACUAGGACUAAAAUUCCCCUACUAAAUAAAGGGAGAAUUUUUUUUUAGUCUGACACAUUGUAACAUGCAAUUCCAAGCAAUAAAAAUUUAUUUUUACUUUCUAGAUAUUGUCAAGAACUCUGCUCACUUGUACUGUUCUUCAUUCAUGAUUGGGCUCGAACCGAGGGUCCAUUUGAAGGACGAGGUAGCUGUUCAAUUUAAGAUCAAGCUUGGUCAUAACAUUGCGAUUGGUUUGAUCGUUUAUGUCCUCUUUAAUUUAUUUAUCUACUAUUCUUAAUUAUUCGUGUUGAAUUAAAUCAUGUAUCAUUUAAACCACAAACAAAUUUAAUUGUCAAGUAAUUUUGGGGUAAAUAAUUUGGCGCCCACCAUAGGGAUAAGGAUAAUAGUUGUGAUUUGAUAUGAAUCUCCAUAACACACCCUAACAUACUCUCAAUCUUAUCACUUGAACGUUGACGCUGAGUCUGUCCAUCACAACAAAAAUAAUAAUUUGGUGCCCAGCAAUGAUGUGCUUCCUGCCGAUCCCAGCAUUGUCCCAGCUACCGACCCGGUCGAUGUUAACUCACAGGUGGUCAUCAACAUCAAUUUGCCAAUUGAUCCUGAAAAUAGUGUUCGUGGGGGACCCCGACCAACAACUCGAGAAGCACCCGAAGGCAAGGUGAUUGGGUAAGCCUACGACUGAUUUUCGAAAUGCGGCAAGCUCAAUAAGUGAAAAUAGCAUAGAUGCAUAAUCAAAGCUACGUCCCCAAUAGGGUCGAGCUCAAACAAUCCGGGGAAAGCACCAGAAGAGACGAAAAUAUUACCGAGAGACCGGGUGAAGCCAAACCGUCUGAAUCCUCAGAGUCUUCGGGACUCUCAAGCUCAUAGAGUUCCUUCGCCUCGGCCUUAAGUCUCUUGGCUUCUUCAAUCUCGGCCGACAAGUCAAAACCUCGGGCAUGAACCUCCUCGAAGGUCUCUCUUCAGGAUAGCCGUUUUACGUACUCAAUAUUCGUCUUUAAGCGGGCCUCGGCUCUCUUCACAUAGGUCGUAUACUGGGCCAGCAUUUCCUCAAUUUUGGAGGAAUCAAUAGAAGUUGCCUCCAGCCUGGACCUCAGCGCGGCAUAUUCCUGGCUGAGGGAAUCCGUUUCCCUAACAGCUGAGUUCAACUGUGCUUGGAGUUCAUCGUUUAGCCGAGACCACUUGUCGUCCUUGUCCUUUGCCACCCGGAGAUGGUCCUUGACCGAUGCCAGCUCCACUUUUGCAGCCUUUUUUUCUGAAACCCAUAGGUCCAUCCUGCCCUUCCACACCUCGGUCGUGGCCUUGACCUCGUCCAUCUCAGCCCGAAGCUGGUCGAUCAGGUCUACCUUCUCUUGGACCUGCGAAGUUACGUUGUUAGUCACCACGAGUAGCUUCUCAUUUUUAGCCUCAAAGAUCCUUACCUUCUCAGCCAGGUCGGCGUUCUCCCGAUUGAUGGAUAAGGCUUGCUUUUGAGCCUUUUCCAGCUCGGCUCGGAGAAUUGGGAGGUCCUUGAGGGCCUCGUCUUGUUGCUCACUGAGAGCCCUGUACAUGUCCUUCUUUCAGACAUGCUCUUUGAGCUCGAACUUGAGCUGGCUAAUCUCCAAGCGGGAUCGAAGAAAGACUUCAUGGUAAAGCACUGAAGCUGGCUGAUCUCGGGGUAAGGAACAACUUCACUAGUUUCGAGCUCGAGCUCAGUUUGCUCACUUCCGAUGGCACAUCAUUUUUUGGGGCUUUCAGGUGACCAAGCUCGGAAAAGUCCUCUAACACGGCCAUGUCUAUGCCAUCGAAGAACGUGUUGAGGGCAUCAUUUGGGCUCGACACCGUCUCGUUUGAUUUCUCUUUACCUUCUUGAGCCUCUUUGAGCAUGGUCUCGGUAUAGGACGACAUCUCCGUUAUGUAAAUGACACCAGCUACCUAAUUCAGGACAUGAGCGGCUUCUCGGGUGGCGGCGACCUCCGUCUCUCCCUCUAGCUUCUGAGCUAGGGGGAUCGACCUUGUGGUCACCUUCCCCGACUGCCGUGUGCUCCCCCUCGUUGAGGGUCGACUAAUGAGCAAUAAACUCAAGGUCGUCGUCCUCAAGAUAAUCCGUGAGCCGGUAGAGGGAAUCAGAGUCCGGUACCUUGGACUUGGAGCUCUUUUUGCAUUUUUGGACCUGGGUGGUCACCCUCUUCUUCUUUAACUCGGCGUCCGGGGAGCCUUAAGACUUCUUCUUCUUUUUCUCCUCCUUUGUGGUAGCCCCAGGCGGUCCGGAAAUGGAAGGCUCGGCAAGUGAGGACGAGUCCUCGUCAACAGGCCUAAGCUUAGUGGUCUUAGGCAAACUUGUAGGAAGAAAGAAGACUUAGAGAUGUAUAAGUCAAGAAUAUGAAGGUACUAGUUGGGAAAAAGCCUUACCAUGGGAAUGGGCCUCCCCUUUCCCCUUCAAGAACUUGCGCCAAGCGCACUCGGAGUAUAGCAUCUAUUUGUAGAUCCCCUCGAUCCACUCCUUAAAUCGGGGGACUGCAUUGGGAACUUGGGAUACCGCUGCACAACGACAAACACAGGCAAUUAGAAAAAUAAGCUCAAGAAGGAAAAGACUUACGGGAGGCGUUCCACUUCUCCGGGAAAGGUAGAAAUUCGGAAGGGAUGAGGUCUUUGAUUUUCACCCAAACAAACCUCCCCUACCAACCUCGACCUCGAUCCUCGUCGAUGCUCGAGAACGGAGCCUUGCUUGCCCGGCAGACGAGCUUGAUCAACCCUUCAUGGAAGAUUCGGGGACUAUAUAGAUGAAGCAGAUGGUCGAGGGUGAACCGAGGUGCUUCGGUGUUGUUCAUGAAAUGUCGUAGGAGGAUUACAAUCCUCCAAAAUGACAGAUAAAUCUGCACAAGGCAGACCUCGUACGUUUUACAAAAGUCGAGGAGUACGGGGUCCAUCGGGGCGAUCGUGAAGGGGUAAGUGUAAACAUUUAAGUACCUCUUCACGUGAGUGGUGAUGUCGUCGUUGGGCAUGGGGACGACCACCUCCUUGCCCUUCCAGUUACAGUCUACCGGGACUGUGGUCAAUGUUUUCUCAGUAAAGGAGCAUAUGUACCUCCAUGCUCUCUCACAUCGGUCCUGUUGACUGGAGGCCUUCUCGAUAUUGAAAUCAUUCUCGAUAGAGCAGCCUCCAGGUACGAAGCUCCUUAAGGGAGGCUCCUGGGCCACCUCAGGAACGGUCACCUCGACGUCUAUGGACGGGUUGGAAGAUGAAGGAGCGACUUGUUGAGGCACAUACUUGAAAGUUUUUUCCAUCGGGAUAUGAAAAAUAUAAAGCUUUGAAGAAAUAAUAUAAAGGUUUGAAGGAAAGAUAUGAAGCUUUCAAGAUGUGAUGAGGAUAUGAAGGUCUGGGUUGAAGAUUCAAAGAAAAUGUAUGAAGGUUGAGGAUGAGGAUAUGAAGGCCAAAGGAGCAAUAUAUGAAGAUUUGAAGGAGUUAAAAGGCAAGUAGAGAAUUCGAGGGUAAGUCUAAGAGUUUUGGAAUCGAAAAGUAGAGAAGUAUAAAAGGGUAAGAGCUUUUAUAGAGGAAGGACAAUCAAUGCGUUACGUUUCACAUUCUAGGGCAGUCAACCAACGGCUGACAUGUGUCCGAAGUCAGAACGAUGCGACUGAUGGAACGUUUCGUUAACCCGUCAUAUCAGUUGUAACGUACGAAUGAAGGAAUCGGGGUCCAUCUAUCGCUUCCCGUCAUUUCGGUAAACCUACUCUCCGAAAAAUGAGGGGACUAUCUGUGUACGGGUAAAAUCGGUGGUAAUGUCUACCCCGAUUUCCCGAUGAGAAAACAGAGGGAGAGCACGGAUCUACGAGAUUAUAAUCGAGGUUAGAGGCCCUUUGUAUCUAGACCCAUGAAGAGUGAACGAUGUGUCCGUCAUCUGGUAUGGUAAAUCCAUGCGCCUCUGGCUAAGUAUAAGUUCGAAGACCUCGGGAGACAUGGUGAACGAUUGUGCAUGACCGAUAGAGGGCCGUGAUACUCGCCCUCAACCGGAUAUCACGGCGCGUAUCUCGCUCGAUGUCGAUUAAGGAUUAGUAAUUAUCGAAAAAAGAAGUGUUUUACCUUUUUUAGACUUUCACUAGGAUUGAAACUCUCCUACAUUUUAACACGCAAUUCCAGACAAUAAAAGUUUAUUUUUACUUUCUAGCUAUUGUCAAGAACUCUGCUCACAUGUAUUGUUCUUCAUUCACGACUGGGCUCGAACCGAAGGUCCAAUCGAAGACGAGGUCGCUGUUCAGUUUAAGAUCAGGCUUGACCAUAACAUUGCGAUUGGUUUAAUCAUUUAUUUUGUCUGUAAUUCAUUUAUCUGAUAUUCUUAAUUAUUCGUGUUGAAUUAAAUCACGUAUCUUUUAAACCACGUACAAAUUUAAUUUUUACCUAAUUUUAGGGUAAACACUAGUGACUAUAAACUACUACAAAAGACUUAUUUUCGUUCCUUCUUGGUAUAUACUAUAUGUUGUCACCUUUGGUAUCAAAAUUGGAUUUCAAGGUAAAGCAACGUGUUUCUCGACGGACACGAACAUGUUGCCUUUUUGGUUCAAUUCCAUUAUCAUUGCUCAAAAUUCGUGUUUUAUGGUGGUCUCGUCCUGAAUAAUGAUGGCUGCUCAGCAUUUUAGAUGGUAGUCGCGCUUCAUUGAUUUGAUAUACCUGUAUGGCAAAAUAGUUAAAAGAAAAUAGUUAUCCAUCUAUAUAAUUUAUUAAAAAAUAGGUUGAAUAAUAAACUUUUUAAAAAUGGGUCAAAUAUGAAUAAAAAUCAUAUUAUUCACUUAGAAAAUAGAUAACUAAUGAGUUUAACUUUUAUAUUUGUAAAGUCUCAAAUUGGGGACUCCUCAAGUUUGAGAUAUUAUGAAUUCUCCCAAAAGUGAUCAUAUUCAAGAAGUCAUGGAUAAUAUGGAUAUCCAUAUUAUUCAUCAGUUAAUCCGUAUUAAAUAUGAGUCGGAUCGGAUAAUUUAUCCGAUUUUUACAUUACCCAUUUUUGACCGGACCAUAUCCAACCCGACCCGCCUGUUUGUCACCCCUGCCUGCGCAUAUCAACAAGUAAACCAAGGUUAAUUUGAUUGGAAUACUAGUUUUGAUCCAAGUUGUAUUCGUUAAUUAAAUUAUUUUUGUUUAGCAUAUAGGAUACAAAAUUUAUUGCUUGCAGAUUUUCGUUAUUCACCUUUGGGGAGUUCUUUUUUCAAUUGUUCUACAUCUAUAUAUAUGAAAGGCAGGAAGGUCCAAUGUGAGAUUUUUUAUCGAGUGAGAAUCUACUUGCAAUAUUUAGCACCUUCAUAGAAAUUAGUUAUUUUAAAAAACUACAAUUUCAGUUAUGUUCGUUUUUUGUAGUUAAAAAUAUCUUAAAAUGUUUUGAAAGAUCAUAAUGAAAAAUAAAGAAAGGGAAAAAGAGGUUUGUAAUUUUUGUUCCAAUCCAUAUGUUUCGUUGUCUACUCCAUUUGAUCUCACCAAAUCUUUGGGCGAAUGUUUACCUGUAAAACGGUAAAGUUGAAUUUGUUCGUAAUUUUUAGACAAGUGAAUUAAUUUGAUCCAAAAAAUAAUGAAAUAACUGAUGAAAUAUAAAAUAUUUAGCCUUAAAAUGUAGAUGAAACGACAGAGCGGAUGAGUCCGAGAACAGGGUUUCCGGGCACAAUAAUAAUGAGAUCAAAAACAAGAAAGUAAAUAAUAUUAAGCUCUGUAUAGAGUGUAGUAUAACUUUGCUAGAAAAUUCGUGUCCUUUACAAUGAAAACUACGCUCUCUAUUUAUAGUUAUGUCUAGGGAAGGAGGUCCUAGGAUCAUGCCCUUCUUUAAUGUCAAUUAUGAGGGCCAGAUGAAGAUGUAACGGUAGACAUAAAUAUCAAAUUUCCUGUAACGGGUCAUCAUCCUUAAUGCUACAAAGCAUUUAAUACUCCUUUUAUGAUCGUUAUUCCUUCCGGUGACAAGCGGAAUAGCUAUGUUUGGCGGCUAUCUUCAUCUUGGGUUCCACGUGUCCUUCCUUUAAGUGGCCACGUAUCAUGUCGUAUUUUUUCCUAUGCAGAUAGUCCCCCUGCUUUCCGGUGACACAAUCUUGUGUUAUCGGAAAGUUGGUAGAAAUACUUCUUUUGGCGGGAAUUACUAUAACUCCCUCUGCAGUCUUCUGACGGUUAAUUUGACGCACGUCUCUCCGCACUUAAUGCUCUGAACACGUGUCAACCCAUAAUUUAGCAUAGCUUUUGCCGUUUAUCGAGGUAAUCAAGGCCAUGAAUUUAGCCGCCAAAACUUUACUUAUACGCAUCAUCCUCCUCUUAUGUACUUCAUAAUUUCUCAAUUUUCUAACUUGCAUCUUUAUUUCCCAACUUUUCUCUAAUCCUCUUCGAACCAGAAAUUUUCCUUCCUUCUAUUCCAAUGGCUUCCUCUUCAAAAUGUGCUAGUUCUUCAAAGGGCAAGAACAAAGCUGAGGACUCUGCGACGGUGGGUUCCAUCAUCCCAAGGAAGUUUAACACUACAAAGGAUUUUGAAAAAAAAUUUCCUACUACUAAUUCUCGUACAUGUGCUGUUAGUAGGUAUCUUUCUUCCAUCCGUCCUUCCAAUAUUCCAACUAUGAACGAAGAUUGCCGCUGUCAUGAAUUGGACAUCAUUGCUCCUAGCCUAUAGGAGCGAGUGACCCUUCUCACGGAAGGAUUUACAUAUUUUUAUACUUAUACCUUUACUUUGGGUGCGUUUUCUUUGAGCGGAUAGCUUGAUCCCGUGAUUGCGUAAUUUUGCCUUCGCUACCAAGUGUGUUUGGCACAGGUAAGCCCUUCAGUAUGGAGGAUGGUUUCCUGCCUUCGACGCCUGUGCCAGAAAACUGAGAAAAAGCUAUCAUUAGCUUGUAUAAUGAACCUUUAUUCCCCCAAGAUUUUUCGAGGAUGUAUGAUAAACCUCUACAAACAUGACUACCAUGCUCUGUUGACUAGCAUGGAUGAUGACAACGACCAUGGGUAGAUAGAAUGGUUCAUUGCAACUGCCACCAAUAAUAUUAUUCCGUCAGCGGCAUCAUCCUCUCCAAGUGCUUGGAAUCGUACUCGUAAGAUUUCCUUUAAAUAUAUUUUCUCUUAAUAAAAAUUCUUUCAUGCAUGUAUUGAUCCUUCAACCUUCUAUGUUACAGCAACUCAAUAGAUCCCACCGGUGGGUUCAAAAGAUCUUGGACGUUACGACGUCCGAGACUCGCUUAUGGAAAAAACUGGCCCUUAAGUACGAGUUGAGGGCUAAAAGUCAUGGUAACUUUAAUUUACCUUAUUUUUGUUUUAUAUGUGAAGAAGUUGGUUGAACCCUCCUAACUUUGUUCAUGACAUUAGGUCUACUUGUGGGCUCAGUUGAUGUCCCGGGGGAGGAUUCUUUGGCUGACCCUGCUGAUGCGGCGGGGCUGCUUUAGGAGAAACUUACUCGAACAUGCAUCUCCCAGACUGCUUCGGGCACAAACGUUUCUUCACGGAGUCACCGGCCAGAGAACAAGCAACCAAAGAGAAGACGUUCCUCUAUGGCCGAGGAAAAGAAUAAGAGGGCAAAGACUGGUACCCACAAAUUAUCUCCGGUGGCGAAUGUGACUGGUUCCCCUUCCGGGCUGGUCAUAGACACUGUGAUGAUUGAUGACAAUGAAGAAGCUAGUGAUGAGAGAGCUUCUCUACACAGAAGGCGACGAUCCUCAUCGUCUCAACAAGAUGCUCGACCUGUUGAGGCAGUUUCACCAAUCGAGGACGAUUUCUCGGCAUUGUGGGGAGAGUUUGACUUGGUAGAUAAUGCCAAUUACUGUUUUCGAGCCCCAGUUGUUGUGUCCGGUACUACAGGGCUGAGUAUCGGAUCCCUGCCAUCUUUGGUUGGAGAGUAUCCUCCCACCAGCACUGCAUUUGAUGCUGCUGCUUCUCAUCCUUCGGCUCCAUCGGCUUCAUCUCCGUCUUCACCAUCACCAGCAAGUGCUACAUCAUUUCCAUCUUCAUCCAUUCCUCCACUAGCAAUUGCUACAUCAUCUCCACCGGCCUCAUCCAACCACGGAGAGGGUACUCCUCUUCCCCAAUCCCAGUUCAUGGGAAUUUGGGGCAAAAUUAUGCUGCCCCUUCUGAGGAUCCACAGAGGAGGAUGAGUGUUACCCUUUCGGUCUCCACCGGGUACAACCUGCUCUCGAGGUCGGUGGAGCUUGCUAACUAUCCGAAGCCAUUGGCUUCAGAGAAAGACUAGGAAAAUAUCCAAGCACUUUUGGGAGAGUGUUUGUUGAACAAUGCCAUGCAUAAUACCGCAGUGGUGCGCCCCUUUCAACCUUUGCUAUUUCUUUGACUUUUGCAUGAAUUUGUACUAAAUUUUAUUUAUCUUAUUUUUUAGGCCAACUUUCUUGCUUCCGAGGGCCUACAGAGGUUGAUUCGUGAGAAAGAGGAACUUACUUCUAAACAGAAUCAGCCUUUGGAGAAACGUGACCAAACUAUUCUCCGCCUCUUGGAACUGGAAACCAAAGCUACUGAGGCAGUUAUUUUGGAGGCUCGCUUGCAGCAAAGAGAGCAAGAAGUGAUAACCCUUAGCUAAGAGAUUGGCCCGCUGACGGUUAGAUUUGAUGAAGACAAGUCCAAAUGGGCUGAAGUCCAGAACGCCAUUCUUGCUGCAACCGAGCGCGAGGCUGCCAUUGCCGAAAAAGUGUCUGAAUUAGAAGUAGCCUUGAACUCCAAAAUAUAAGAUCUUGAUACUAUGGAGGCAAAGCAUGCCAGUUGGAAGAGAGGUACAGAAAAACUAUCGAGCAUAAUAGGCUCUUUAGUUCAACUGUCCUCGACCUUGAUGUUAGCCUCCAAUCUGUUAGGUCCGCCCGGGAUAGGCUCUCUGAUGAAGAAACCCAACUCAAAGAGAAAGUCAAGCGUCGAGAGGCUUCCCUCAUUUUUUGAAAAAACUUAUGCCAUGUAUAGCAUGACAAAACCUUGGAAGAGGCCAAAUCAGGCAUCAUUGACUUUGAUGCCGAAAUUGCUAGGGCCCGAGAGCUUGAGUUGGCUACUAAAAAUGGACUCCCAAUGCAGUCUGAUGCUUCUGGUUCCGGUUCCGAGUUUUCAGGGACUGGAGAGGAGUCGGAAGAUGAUGAUGCUGAAGACCAAACCAGGAAAAUUGUUGAGCCAUCGGUGAGCCCACCUGCUUCUCCCGGGGAUGCGGACGCUUCUCUUCCUACUGGUUCCGGAGAUGCUGCAAUUUAGCUUUUUUUUUCUUUUUUCUUAUCUUGUACUUUUUGCACGCAUUUGUAAAUAAAAAUUUUCUUCUGCUUAAUUAUUUUUUGAGUCUUACUUUCAUCUUAUUUUCGUUAUGCUUCUGUUUGAACAUCCAUGCAAAUAUUCAACUUUUGUGUUUGCGUAAGAAUUUUGUGCUCGUUUUCAUUUUGCGCUUUGCUAUGUGUAGUCUCGGAUGCAAAGCAUUAUCCCUUUUACAUGAGGGUUUUUAUAAGUAUUUUCACAAAUUUACCUUUUGCGUCCUUUCUUAUACGUCCUUCGGGUGCAUUUUCCCCAAAAGCGCUUUGAUUUCAUGCACAGACUCUUUCUAAACCAACCCUUUAACAUGAGAGAUUUCAUAAGAUAGGGCUCUCUUAUGUUUACGGUGCUCUUGAAGAGGACGUCUCAUGUUUAUUAUGGUACUAACAUUUGAAGUACUUGUUUAACUUUUAAAUAGCAAAAUUAAUUCAUCGUUCAGACAAGAAACAAGAUAAAAACAAAAGGAUUUUAUGUCUUUUAAUUCCUUCUAUUUUCAAAAGUACAUAAGCAUUUGAUAUGCUGAAAAAAAAUUGCCAUUACUUGUGGCUAUCUUGUACAACUUAUUUCUACGGGGUUGAUUGUGCAGUCUCCGAUCCCGAUGAUGUAUUCUGGUUUUGGAUAUUCGUUCCCCGGUUGACGUGGCAUUCAGUGUUGCCGUAUCCUCAUAUCAUUCCUCCCCCUAGUGUUCGAAUGCAAAGAAUGUGAAUUGGAACACUGGAAGUCUUGCGUCUUCAAAGAUCCCACCAAUGAAUUGCUAGACAAACCUUAACUCGGCAACAAACCUUACUUCCCCUUAGGAAUUCAUGCUAUCGAGUGAAGGAUUAUCUAACAAUCCUCUAGUGGUUUGUUCUCAUGAACGGUCGGGUAACCUUUGUCCUAUAGCAAACUUAACUUCCCAGUGGGAAUUUGCUAUAGAGCCAAAGAUUACCUAACCGUCCCCAAGUGAAGCCUUGCCAUCGAAGAUCUUAUUAUUGUUGUCUUCGCAAUAUGCUUUCUAUCGCUGCCUCAUUAAAAACCUUGCCAAAAAACCCAAUUAGGACAAAAAUUUAACGAAGGAAAAAAGAGUGCAGCAUAUACUUUUCGCUUGGGUAACGUUCAUCAACAGUAAUAUCUUUUGAGGUGUGGCACGUUCCAGUUGCUAGGUAACUUAUCUCCGUUCUGGUUCUCCAACUCGUACGAGCCUUUUCGAGUGAUAGCUGAAAUCCGAUAGGGACCUUCCCACGUUGGGACCAACUUCCCGCAUUAAACUCCCGGGUAUUUUGAGUUAGUUUCCUCAGAACUAAAUCUCCCCCUUUGAAAUAAUGGAAAUUAGCUCUUUGAUUAUAGUAUCACUCCAUUCUCUGCUUUUGAGCCUCCAUUCUUACAUGCGCCAAGUCCCUGCGUUCCUCGAGCAGUUCCAAGUUGAUUAACAUUACUUCGUUGUUAGAUUCUUCUUCCGCCUGGAAAUACCUUAAGGUUGGUUCCUCUACUUCCACCGGUAUCAAAGCUUCUACGCCGUACAGAAGGGAAAAAGGGGUUUCUCCUGUUCUUGACUUGGCCGUUGUUCGGUAGGCCCAUAGAAUCCUAGGUAAUUCUUCGGGCCAAUUGCCUUUUGCUGCUUCCAACCUUUUCUUGAGAUUUUGAAUAAUCACUUUGUUUGUUGACCAUGUUUGACCAUUUGCGCUCAGAUGAUAGGGUGAAGAGGUGAUCCUCUUUAUCUUCAAAUCUUCAAGGAACUUUGUAGCUUUUGCACGAAAUGCGGCCCAUUGUCGCAUACAAUCUCUUUUGGUAUUCCAAACCUGCAAAUUAUAUUUUCCCACAAGAAGUUGAUCACCUCGCGUUCUCCGAUCUUCUAAUAAGGACCUGUUUCCACCCAUUUAGAAAAAUAGUCAGUCAAAAUAAAAAGAAACCUUACCUUUCCAGGAGCCGGUGGUAGCGGUCCGACGAUGUCCAUCCCCUAUUUCAUGAACAUCCACAGGGACAAAAUUGAAUGUAGUGGUUCUGUCAGUUGAUGUACUAGUGGUGCAUAGCGUUGGCACUUAUCACAUUUUUGUACGAAAUUUUUGGCAUCUUGUUCCAUACGGGGCUAGUAAUAUCCUGCCCGAACUAAUUUCAGCACCAAAGAAUCUGUACCCGAGUGAUUGCCGCAUAUCCCUUCAUGGACUUCUCUCAUGACAUAGCUAGCUUCUGAUGCUCCUAAACACCGGGCCAAUGGGCCUUGAAAGGAUUUUCUGUACAAUGGGCCUUUCUUGAACCUAUAACGUGCAGCUUUGGCACGUAACGCUCUUGAUGCUUUGGGGUCUUCGAGCAACUUUCCAUGCUCGAGAUAGUCGAUUAUUUUGUUUCUCCAGUCCCAGACCAAACUAUUCGAAUUCACCUCAUAGUAACUAUUUGUGUCCAAGAUUGAGUUCAUCAGUUGUACUAUUGUCCAUGAUUCUGAUCCCUGUAUUUAUGUCGAUGAGCCCAAAAUUGCCAAUGCAUCUGCUUUCGCGUUUUCUUCCCUCGGGAUAUGAGUAAUUGACCACUCCCAGAAUCGUUCCAAUAAAGUCUAAACUUUUACCGCGUAUUGUUUCAUACGUUCCUCUUUGGUGUCAAAAAUUCUGUAGACCUGAUUUACCACCAACUGCGAAUCAUAUUUGAUUUCGAUGACUUCGGAAUCAAGCUCCCGGGCCAAUUCGAGCCUUGCAAUCAAAGCUUUGUACUCUGCUUAAUUGUUAGUUAAAGGAAUCAUUCUGAUGGCUUGCCUUAAGGUUUCUCCCAAAGGCGUGAUCAAGACUAUUCCGAGCCCAGACCCUUUUAUGUUUGAGUCUUCAUCCGUAAAUAAGGUCCAAACUCUCGAUGUUGUAUCUGACACCAUUAUUGCCUCCUUGGCUGCUAGAGGCAAUAGUCCCGGAAUGAAAUUGUCCACGAAGUCAGCUAAGACUUGUGACUUAAUUGCAGUACUCGGUUUAUACUCUAGAUCGAACUCGCUCAUUUCGACGGCCCAUUUGGCCAAUCUACCCAAGAGCUCGGGUUUAUAGAGGAUAUUUCUUAAAGGGAAAGUAGUCACCACACCUAUCGGGUAGCAUUAGAAGUAGGACCUCAACUUUCGAACGGCGACUACGAGAGCUAAGGCCAACUUUUCCAGAUGUGAGUACAGAGUUUCUGCUCCCGUUAAAAUUUUGCUUACGUAAUAAAUGGGAGAUUGCAUUCUUUCAUACUCUCGGACUAAAAUUGUACUUAUCGCAACUUCUGAGACCGCGAGGUAGACUAGCAAUGUUUUACCUUCUUUUGGUUUUGAGAGCAACGGGGGGCUUCACUAAUAUUUCUUCAACUCCUUCAAGGCUUGUUGACACUCCUAUGUCCAUUCGAAAUUGUUUUUCUUUUUGAGUAGUGCGAAGAAGCGAUGACAUUUUUUCGAUGAUCGGGAAAUGAACCUGCUCAAACCUACCAAUCUCCCUGUGAGCCUCUGGACUUCUUUUACGUUAGACAAUUUAUCCGGGAUGUCCUCUAUGUCCUUGAUUUUGUCGGGAUUUACCUCAAUUCCCCCUUGUGAGACUAGGAAUCCUAGGAACUUACCCGAACUAACCCCGAACGCACAUUUCUCGGGGUUAAGUUUCAUAUUAUGCUCCCUCAGGAUGUCGAAUGUUUCUUGCAAAUACUUCAGGUGGUCACCUGCAUUCAAAGACAUAAGGAGCAUAUCAUCUAUAUAUACUCCAUAGUCUUUCCUAUUUGUUUUUCAAACAUCUUACUCACGAGUCGUUGAUAAGUGGCUCCAACAUUUUUUUAACCCGAAAGGCAUCACAUUGUAACAAUACGUACUAAAAUUCGUUAUAAACGAAGUCUUUUCCUGGUCUUCUAGGUUCAUCUUGAUAUGAUUGUACCCAGAAAAUGCAUCGAGGAAACUCAUUAACUCGUGCCCGCCGUGGCAUCAAUCAUUUAAUCGAUAUUUGGCAAUGGGAACAAGUCUUUUGGGCACGCCAUAUUAAGAUCCUUAUAAUCUAUGCACAUGCGAAAUUUAUUAUUUUUCUUAGGAAAUGCUACUACAUUGGACAAGAGUGGGUUGCUCUAGUGGUGAGCACCCUUCACUUCCAACCAAGAAGUUGUGAGUUCGAGUCACUCCAAGAGCAAGGUGGGGGGGUUCUUGGAGGGAGGGAGCCGAGGGUCUAUCGAAAACAGCCUCUCUACCCUAGGGUAGGGGUAAGGUCUGCAUACACACUAUCCUCCACAGACCCUGCUAGUGGGAUUAUACUGGGUUAUUGUUAUUGUUGUUGUUGUUGGCUAGCCAGACUGGAUAUCUUACCUCUCGGAUUGAAACAAUAUUAAGUAAACGGGUUACCUCUUCUUUGACGAAUUUAUUCCUUGCUUCAGCAAUAGGGCGCUUCUUUUGUCUUACCGGAGGUAUGUUGGGAUCUAAGAUUAACUUGUGUACGACUAUCUCCGUUGGGACUCCUGUCAUAUCCUCGUGUGACCAUGCAAAACAAUCGGUGUUUAUUUUAAGGAAUUCAAUAAAAGCAGACCUGAGCUCCGGGUGUAGUCCUGUUCACAAAUGGAAUUUCCUUUCUAGGAAUUCUUCGAACAAUGCAACUUUCCCUAGUUCUUCUGUCGUGGAAUUCGUCGCGUCCGUCUCUUCUGGUACUUGAAAAUACCUUGGUACUUGAUAUGGUUCCAACUCUUCUGUCCCCUGGCUAACUUCCUCUGGUUUGGGGGAAGGUACUGGUUCCAGUAAUUGCUAUGUCGCAAGUUCCUUUCCUUUUCUACUGGAGAUCGAAAUUGCAUUCAUCUCCCUUGUUGUAGGUUUAUCGCCCCUUAUCUGUUUGAUCCCCUCGGGUGUCGGAAGCUUUAACAAUUGAUGAUAUGCUGAAGGCACAACUUUCAUCUCAUGCAACCAUGGUCUUCCCAAGAUGAUAUUAUACCUCAUGUCUCCAACUACCACUUCGAAGAGAGUUGUCUUCAUUACUCCCUCAGUAUUCGUGAGCAAUAAAAUUUCUCCUCGGGUUGUCACGCUUACAAAGUUAAAUCCAGCGAGGAGUUUUGUUGCCGAGAUAAUGCUUUCGGUGAGUUUAGCUUGCUUCAGUGCUCUCCAUUGUAUGAUAUUAGCUGAACUUCCUGGAUCUACUAAGACACGUUUAAUUUUAAAAUCUAACACAUUUAAAGAAAUUACCAGUGUGCGGUAACAGCAAUCGGUAUGCAUCUUUGUCCGUAAAUGUGAUAUCAUCUUCCCGGAGCCUUUUACUAUGAGUUAUUGAUACUUUUGUCUUCUUUGUUUCCGAAAAGGUGACCCCAUUAAUCUCAUUCCCUCCGAAGAUCAUGUUGAUCAUUUGGCAUGGGGGUUCUUCUCUUGCUUUCGAGGGUUCCGCGUCACCUCUAUUCAGGCCAUAAUUAUUUUUAGCUCGGUCACUCAAGAAUUCUCUGAGAUGAAAUUCUUUAACAGUGUUGCCACUUCUUCCCGGAGGUGUCUGCAGUCCCUAGUCCGAUGGCCGUUAGUACCAUGGUAUUCACACCAUAAGUUAGGAUCCCUCUAGGUGGGAUCAGAUCUCAUAAGUCUCGGGAAUUGUGCCUCUUUGAUAUUUCUCAUGGCUGACACCAGCUCCACUACACUGACGUUGAAGUUAUACUCUGAUAACUUUGGGUAAGAAGACUCUCGCGACCCCGAGAUUUCUUUUUCUUGCAGCUAUCUAUUGUUCCGGCCACUAUCGGUCCUUCUAUUAACAGUGAACUUGUCUACUGUCUGGAAGCUCCUGCCACGACCUUCGGUCCGCUCGUAGGGCAAAAAUAGGCCCUUCGAAGUCCGUCUAUCCGUGUCGUUAUCAUCUUUUAUUUUUUCUAUGUUCUUUUCUCGUCCUAUGGUCGACGAUGAAAAGCCAACCUGAUCUUCUUCGAUUCUUAUUUUUGACUCGUACCGGUUGUGGACAUCCGCCCAAGUCAUCGCUUGAAACUCGAACAGACUUUUCUUCAACUUCCGGGAAGAGUCCGAACUUCUCGGAUUUAAACCUUUGGUGAACGCUUCAGCUGCUCAUUCAUCCGGAACUGCGGGUAGUAACAUCCUUUCCUUAUGGAACCGAGUAACGAAGUCUCAUAAUAAUUCGGAUUCUCCCUGCGUGAUCCUGAAUAUGUUGGCCUUUCAGGCUUGUACCUUUCUGGCACCAGCAUGGGCCUUGAUGAAAGAAUCCGCGACUAUCUCAAUGGAAUAUAUAGAAUGCUCGGGUAAUAAUGAAUACCACGUUAAAGCUCCCCCUGUGAGAGUCUCACCAAAUUUCUUUAGCAACACGAAUUCAAUUUCGUGAGGAGCCAAAUCAUUUCCUUUUACUGCCAUCGUGUAAGUGGUAAUAUGCUCAUGAGGAUUCUAAGUUCUGUUAUAUUUUGGAACUUCAUGCAUUUUGAACCGUUUUAGGAUCAAUUCUGGUGCCGCACUCAGCUAGUAUACUUAUUUGAAUCCGGGCCCUUCAUUACUAGUGGCGCGCCCGGGAUUUGGUCCAUGCGGGCUUUUACUUCUUUCAUGAACCGUAAAAGUUCAUUAUUGAACGGGUCGUUCUCGCUGUUGAGACCGGAUCCGCUUCCCCCAGCCCCGUCAGAAUCGACUUCACCCUUGGGAGUAUUGUUGUUGACUCUCUGCAUUGUUUCGUUUUCGGAGAGGAAUUGGAUCUCGCUUGUUUGCAUUAUUCGAAGCCCCCGACAGCGCCUGUUUUAGCUCCGUCAUAACCUUAUCCUGCCGAGUGAGAUGGCCUAGAAUAAUCGCCUAUUGCUCUUGCAAGACGCUUACCGCAUCGAAGACAUGCUCUUCAUUAACAUCAUCGGGAGUUGUUUCCCGAACAUGUCGAGGAUAUUGCAUGUCAUGUAUCGGUGUAGCGUCAUUCCCCUCGUUGUGGUCGUCACAGAUUGAAUCCUAGAAAUGAGGUUGAUCCCCUCGAAAUCCAGGAUUGUGAGUGUUGUUAACAGUAUUGUCUGUCAUUUUUUUGUGAUUUUUUCUAAGACAAAACAAUCAAAGCUUGUUAGUAAAAAAAGUAAGGAUCAAUUUAAUUGCACGACUGUCUAGGCUCCACGGUGGACGCCAAACUGUUUACCCGUAAAAUGGUACAGUUGAAUUUGUUCGUGAUUUUUAGACAAGUGAAUUAAUUUGAUCCAAAAAAUAACGAAAUAACUGAUGAAAUAUAAAAUACUUAGCCUUAAAAUGUAGAUGAAACGACAGAGCUGAUGAGUCCGGGAACAGGGUUUCUGAGCACAAUAAUGAUGAGAUUAGAAGCAAGAAAGUAAAUAAUAUUAAGCUCUGUAUAGAGUGUAGUAUAAGUUUGCUAGAAAAUUUAUGUCAUUUAUAAUGAUAACUGAACUCCCUAUUUAUAGCUAUGUCUAGGGAAGGAGGUUCUAGAAUUAUGCCCUUCUUUAAUGUCAAUUAUGAGGGUCAUUAAUGAAGAUGUAACGGUAGAUAUAAAUGCCAAAUUCCCUUUAACGGGCCAUCAUCCUUAAUGCUGUAAAAUAUUCUGUAUUAAAUGUUACCGGGUGUAAAACAUUUAACACUCCAUUUUAUGAUCGUUAUUCCUUCCGGUGAAAAGCGAAAUAGCUAUGUUCGGUGGCUAUCUCCAUCUUGGGUUCCACGUGUCCUUCAUUUAAGUUGCCAUGUGUCAUGUCGUAUUUUUCCCUAUAUAGAUAGUCCCCUUGCUUUCCGAUGACACAAUCUUGUGUUACCGGGAAGUUGGUAGAAAUACUACUUUUGGCGGGAAUUACUAUAACUCCCUCUACAGUUUUUUGACAGUUGAUUAGAUAAGGAUCGGAUAAGUUACAAAACCGGAUGGCCUUUUGAUUCUCGGUACGUUGCCCCCAGCUCGAGUUAUCCGUUCGGGUAAGAUAGAUCUAGAACUUUAAACCUUUAAGGUUUAAACUUAGAAGAACAUAGCCUCAUGUAGGAUCCCUAGUAGGUACGCUUGUUUGCAUCACGUACAUUAGACUUUUGGGACUCAACACAUGGGUUGAGUCGUCUAGGACAUGUGUACCCGAAAUUAAAAAGACCAUCCUGAUGCAUCUUACGUGCUACUUUUGUAUUUGUUUGAAUUGGUUUGCAUGUUGACUCGCUUCUAGAAUAGGGAAAUAAAAUCAAGAAAAACCGAGAUAUAGAAGGUAGGAGAGAGAAAAUUGAUCGGUUCUAGAACAUCUCGGUAUUUGAAAAAAAAAGAUCCUAGAACUCUAACUAAUUUUAGAAGGAGUUCACAAAUGAGUCCGAAUUUUCAAAAAAUGACAUUUUCCCUCGGUCCUGAAAAACUCGCCGUACUACGCGUGUCUGAUUUUCACCGGAUGUGAGAUACGUAGGCAAACCUUAUCGGUUCCGGCCCCCAAUUUUCAAAAAUCUAGAAAUAUUUUCCUUUAAUUCCUUCUUUAGAAGUCUUUCCUUAGAAAAUCUCAAAUAAAAAAAAUUAACCCAAAAAUAUUUUCUUUCUUUUACAAGUCUUUCAUUCGAAAAGGAAAUAAUAAAUAAAUAAAUCAAUCAAAUCAAGAUUCAUAAAUAUGUUUUUUUUCCUUCUUUAGAAGUUUUUCUCCCAAAAACAAAUCAAAAAUCAAAACCAAAAAUUCAAAAAUAUUUUCUUUGUUCUUUGGAAGUAUUUCUUUCGAAAAUUUCCAAUCAGAAAAAAAAAAUCAAAAUCCAAAAAUAUUUUUCUUGUUAGGAACUUUUACGAUUAGAUUUUUUAAAGAGUUAAAAAAAAGGACGUUAAUUUAUUUACUUUAGACAUGAGACAGAAUUCUAAUUUUCAAUUCAAAACAACGACAGAACCUACGAACAUGAUAUGUGAUACAUAAUAAAAACAAAUUAAAUUAACAUCUGCUUACUGACUUGCGGUAGGUGAACUUAACAUAAACUAGUUUAUCAUUCCAGUUUGGAGAGUUUAAUAUUUAGACGAAAAGAUUGAAAACUGAUCAUUUUUUUCAAUGUCUAUCUCUUAGCUCUAUAUCUUGGAUUACUAAGCUACUGCUAUGAGAUGAAUAGGUGAGUUCAAAUUUAUAGUGAAUCGUAGGAUAGAUUUUGCUUUUCCUAUUUGCUGUAUUGUUGGAUGAAACAGCUUCAUAGAUUUGCUUUUAUAAAUUCAUGAAAAUCCCAGCGGUGUUGGUAUAUUACACAUUAAUUAAAGUGGCCUUCCGAUACAAGAAACUUUUGCAUACUCUCACGGCCUUAAAAAUUAAGUAUUUUUUGCUUUUCUGGAGUCAACAAUUAUUAAAUUUUAGCCAUGAAUCUUCUUAAUAAACUUUUUGAAAUGAAUGAAUUUCAGUUUGGAGUAUUUCUCUUGUAGUGUCUAGUUCAGUGUACUCAUUUUUUCCCCAAUUUGUUUGACACUUUUUUUUUGUAUAUCACGAAAAUUGACAAAUUUUUGUACUUAGAGAUUAUUUAAUCUUCCACAUUCAUUUUGUCCUAAUACGAAUCGACAUGAUUUUUCAUGAUCGAAAUGAAUAAAAAUACAACUACAAUUUGGUACUAAGGGUGCUUUUGACAUUUUAUGCAUAUUUUAAUUUUUUAAAGAUAACGUGUCCAUUCGAAUUUCCAAACAAAUGGAUGUGAGACAAAGAGAUUAAUAAACCAUUGUCAAAUCGAUUUAAUUUGUAUACAAUAACAUUUUAGAAAAAUUUGCACUAUCAAUAUAUCUUUACUUGUCACAUUAAAUAACCUAUCUUAAUUUUCAAAUUAUUAAUUUCAAUUUUAUGUGUCACACCUCCUUUUUCCCGAAGGGGAUAGAGAGUUUUUCCAAUUGAAUUGACAUUAAUCGAAAUGAAAUUAUUUAUUCAGAGUCGUCACUUGGGAUAAUUUAUGGUGUCCUAAGUCACCGGUUUAUUUCAAAUCCCAAAUCGAGGAAAUUUGACUAUGUUUUAAAGUCUGCAAAAACCAGAAGACCGGGUAAGGAAUUCUGUUAACCCGGAAGAAGGUGUUAGGCAUUCCCGAGUUCCGUGAUUUUAGCACGGUCGCUCAACUAUUAAUAAUUGGCUUAAUAAUCUGAUUUAUUACAUGUUUUAGAACCUAUUAUGCAUUUUUACCUUUUAAAACCGCUUUUAAUUAUUUAUGAAAUUAUUUGAACAAGUCGCGAUGUCGCGCACUCGUUUGUUUUUGUACACAUUGCGAAUCGCGCCACGUAAAACACAUCCAUAAUUUAUAACAUGUUAAUUUUUAUUAUUCGAAGUUAUGGUCGAGCACAUGAAAUGCACACCCAAAUUUGGAUUUAUGUAUCAUGACCAUGCCACAGGAACUGUACUCAUAGUCACGAUGAUUUAUUAUUAAUCACGCCUAAAGCAAGCUACGAUAUUUAUGAAUAUUAACGGCCAAGCAUGCUCCUAACGGUCAAAACAAUUGAAUAAUGCAAUAAAGGUUACAGUUUCAAUAUUUCAUUUCAAUUUAGCCCAACGUCCCUACGCCCGACAUGAAAGCUCAUUUAAAUAUAAGUCCAACAAAGCACUCAAGAAAAACAAAUAGCAUCCAAACAAAUAACACAUCGUGCAGCAAAUUGCUCCUGCGAUAACAUAAGGUUAUUUAAAACACGAUUCUAGCCCACUAAUAUACCAAACCAAUCUAUAGAAAAUUUCAGAGAAUUCAAGCCUAACAUAUCCAAACUCACUUUGUUACUUAAACAAAAUUAAUCCAAAUCUUACUUCCAAUUUUAAGACUUAUACUUAUCAAAUGUAGAACUAGAUUGAACAAACUAAAAUUCCCUUCAUCUUUGUUAUCAAAUGUCACUGCCCAGAGAGAAUGCUAAGCACAAAAGGAACGAGAAUCUGACAACAAAUUAAGCUCAAAUUCAUUUUAGACAUAGACCAACACAGAGGAACAUGAAUCAGAUAACCAAUCAAACUUUAAUUCAUUUGAAAUAAAGAGUGAGACAGAAGAAAUGAACCUUGAUUGAAAAAUAAAAUCGGCAAACAAGAACUGCACCCGAACCUCGAGCGGAACCUCAGACUCUAACCUCGAACAGAUUUUGGAAUUUUUGUUUUAGGCGAUGAGCGAUGAAGCUGUGUGCUGAGACCCGUUUCCUUUUGCUCUCCCCGUUGCUUUGUCCGUUCCCUCAACUCCCUCUGUUUCGUGACCUCCUCUCUUUAUGGGUGGUGUCUUCCGGUGUUAAUGGCUGAUUUACGGUGGCUUUAGGGGGUUGAAUGGGCUAUUUUUGGGGCUGGACUUUGGUGGAGGUUUGUGUUGAUUACGGUGGAGAAGAUAGGUUCUUGAAUUUUUCCGUUCCUUUUCCUUUUGUUCCCCUGUUUUUCUCUGUUUUUGUUCUGUUUGCCGUCGUGAGUGGAGUUGAAGGGUAGUGUUGAAGUUGGUGGUAAUGGGUGUUUAAUAGAGAUUAAAGUAGAGUGGGAAAUUAGGUGGCGUCCAUGGAGUUGAACUGUGGCAUCUCUCUCUUUUUUCUAAUCCCGUUCCCAAACCCUCUGCUUUUCUCUCGUCCUCUAGGCCUCUCUUUUCUCUCUUUGCUCUAUCUGUUUUUUCUCCUUUUUUGUUUUUCCCAGCCCCCUUUGUGUGUGGAAGAUCUAUAGGAACGGGGAUUAAUUGGUUGCCAAGAAAAAAGAGCGUGUAUGUGUAUGUAAUUUCGAAGGAGAAUGUGAGUUUGUUACAAAAGAUAAGCAGGAAUCUUGCC
This 24262-nucleotide long non-coding RNA is filed under the name Nicotiana tabacum (common tobacco). Its description in RNAcentral is "long non-coding RNA (NTAB_LNC006417)". The record is from RNAcentral. Lineage: Eukaryota; Viridiplantae; Streptophyta; Magnoliopsida; Solanales; Solanaceae.